Molecule: ribosomal RNA, 468 nt
Filed under: uncultured bacterium
Lineage: Bacteria
Description: partial 16S ribosomal RNA
Rfam family: Bacterial small subunit ribosomal RNA
Source: RNAcentral
GACGAACGCUGGCGGCGUGCUUAACACAUGCAAGUCGAACGGAAAGGCCCUGCUUUUGUGGGGUGCUCGAGUGGCGAACGGGUGAGUAACACGUGAGUAACCUGCCCUUGACUUUGGGAUAACUUCAGGAAACUGUGGCUAAUACCGGAUAGUAGCUCCUGCUGCAUGGUGUGGGUUGGAAAGUUUCGGCGGUUGGGGAAGGACUCGCGGCUAAUCAGCUUGUUGGUGUGGUAGUGGUUUACCAAUGCUUUGACGAGUAGCCGGCAUGAGAGGGAGACCGGACACAGAGGAACAGAGAUACGGGCAGGAGUCAAACGGGAGCAAGGAGUGGGGAAUUGUGCGAGAAGGGCGGAAGCAGGAAGCAAGAAUGCCGCGUGCGAGAGGACGGUCUUAGGGUUGUAAACAGCGUUAGCCUGGAACGAAGAGUGAGUGACGGUAAUGGAUCAAGAAGCGCCGGCUAACUACGUG